Molecule: ribosomal RNA, 1111 nt
Filed under: Salmonella enterica
Lineage: Bacteria; Pseudomonadati; Pseudomonadota; Gammaproteobacteria; Enterobacterales; Enterobacteriaceae
Also listed under: 1 other name
Description: partial 23S ribosomal RNA
Rfam family: Bacterial large subunit ribosomal RNA
Source: RNAcentral
UCGUCACACUAUCAUUAACUGAAUCCAUAGGUUAAUGAGGCGAACCGGGGGAACUGAAACAUCUAAGUACCCCGAGGAAAAGAAAUCAACCGAGAUUCCCCCAGUAGCGGCGAGCGAACGGGGAGGAGCCCAGAGCCUGAAUCAGCAUGUGUGUUAGUGGAAGCGUCUGGAAAGGCGCGCGAUACAGGGUGACAGCCCCGUACACAAAAGCGUAUGUGCUGUGAGCUCGAUGAGUAGGGCGGGACACGUGGUAUCCUGUCUGAAUAUGGGGGGACCAUCCUCCAAGGCUAAAUACUCCUGACUGACCGAUAGUGAACCAGUACCGUGAGGGAAAGGCGAAAAGAACCCCGGCGAGGGGAGUGAAAAAGAACCUGAAACCGUGUACGUACAAGCAGUGGGAGCCCCACCACUAAGCCAGUGGUGAACUCCACAUACGCAUCCUUUGCUGAGGAUACGGUUAACGGAGCGAAAGCGACGUUCAACCGCAAAAGAAGCAGAGGGGGCUUAGUGGUGGGGUGACUGCGUACCUUUUGUAUAAUGGGUCAGCGACUUAUAUUCUGUAGCAAGGUUAACCGAAUAGGGGAGCCGGAGGGAAACCGAGUCUUAACCGGGCGUUAAGUUGCAGGGUAUAGACCCGAAACCCGGUGAUCUAGCCAUGGGCAGGUUGAAGGUUGGGUAACACUAACUGGAGGACCGAACCGACUAAUGUUGAAAAAUUAGCGGAUGACCUGUGGCUGGGGGUGAAAGGCCAAUCAAACCGGGAGAUAGCUGGUUCUCCCCGAAAGCUAUUUAGGUAGCGCCUCGUGAAUUCAUCUCCGGGGGUAGAGCACUGUUUCGGCUAGGGGGCCAUCCCGGCUUACCAACCCGAUGCAAACUGCGAAUACCGGAGAAUGUUAUCACGGGAGACACACGGCGGGUGCUAACGUCCGUCGUGAAGAGGGAAACAACCCAGACCGCCAGCUAAGGUCCCAAAGUCAUGGUUAAGUGGGAAACGAUGUGGGAAGGCCCAGACAGCCAGGAUGUUGGCUUAGAAGCAGCCAUCAUUUAAAGAAAGCGUAAUAGCUCACUGGUCGAGUCGGCCUGCGCGGAAGAUGUAACGGGGCUAAACCAU